UACGGAGGAUCCGAGCGUUAUCCGGAUUUAUUGGGUUUAAAGGGAGCGUAGGCGGCCUGUUAAGUCAGGGGUGAAAGCCGGUGGCUCAACCAUCGCAGUGCCUUUGAUACUGACAGGCUUGAAUGUAGUUGAGGUGGGCGGAAUGUGACAAGUAGCGGUGAAAUGCAUAGAUAUGUCACAGAACACCAAUUGCGAAGGCAGCUUACUAAGGUGUCAAUGACGCUGAGGCACGAAAGCGUGGGGAUCAAACAGG
Molecule: ribosomal RNA, 253 nt
Filed under: uncultured bacterium
Lineage: Bacteria
Description: partial 16S ribosomal RNA
Rfam family: Bacterial small subunit ribosomal RNA
Source: RNAcentral